Molecule: long non-coding RNA, 2600 nt
Organism: Ictalurus punctatus (channel catfish)
Lineage: Eukaryota; Metazoa; Chordata; Actinopteri; Siluriformes; Ictaluridae
Source: Ensembl
AUGCGUCAACAUUUCUGUCCUGGUUAUGGAAACGUUUAUGAUUCAUGCGAUUAUAUGUAGACAAUAAACUAGUGUUUAAAAAAACAAAACAAAUGAGAGAGAUGUUUUUUUAAAGAAGUAGCGCUAGAAUUGAGUGCUGUUACUAUACGGAGCUAAAUAGCUAGCUUAGCUUCCUGCAUUAAGGCCUAAUUGUGAGCUUGGCACGUUUUAGGAAGCAACCUUGGGGAUAGAUAUGAGUGUUUAGUUACAUGUUGUAUCAUUUUGAAUUUAGUCGGUUAAUCUGCUUUGAAAUUAUAUAGUGAGGUUCUGCAAACAUGUUAAAUGACCUGAGCAUUGGAUGAUGAUGAUGAUGAUGACCUGCUAAUUUAGACAUUGAUCUCUGAAGGCUUUAUUCUGAAGGUCCACCUUCCUCUGAGCUGAAGCUUUAUCUCCUAGAACAGCAGCAAACAUGACUGGAAUCCAAUCCAGAGAUGAGUCGGUUGGAGACAGUUCUGAUGAUGAACCUCUGAGUAAAAUGGUGAAACCUGGCAAGAAGUGUCCAGAAGAUGCACCCUCGGAUAUCAUGGAAGAUGCUUCACCAAAGAAAACCCUUAAAGAGCCCACCUCUGCUGCGGAUGUUCCAGCAUCCCAGGUUUUCCCAGGGUUUCCUCAGGGUUCUCCAGUUUCCUCCCAGGUCCCACAAAACAAGUGCCCUGGACACAGCUCUGAUGACGAGCCUCUGAGCAAACUGACUGAAUCAAAGGGGGCGAAGCGCUCAAGUAAACAAAAAGAGACUGCUGCGGGGAAGCAGUCAGAAUCUGAAGACGAUCAGCCGCUGACGAUGAUUAUCAAGAAGAAGAAGCAGAAGGCUGACACAGAAGAGCCUGAAGAUGCCAAGAAGACCAGAAGCCCAAAAAAGCGUAAAGCUGUGACGAAGGCCUCAAAGCUCAGAGAUUCAUCACCCUCGCCAUCGCCGUCGCCAGUGAAGGCCACACAGAGAAGAGGACAAAAAGCCCCGUGUAGCGACAGCUCGGAUGACGAGCCCUUGAGCGAGCUGCCGUGGAAGAGGAGCGAGCCAGAGAUGAAGCAGGCGGUGGUGCUGGUGGAGAGGAUGUCUGAAAGAGACGUUAAGGAUGCAGUGGCACGCGGACGUGCACACAGCCAAGAGCAGAAAAGUACAGCCAGAGCAGAGUGUGCAGCGGAGGGCUCAGACGAGGAGCCUCUGAGUCAUAAGAUGAAGAGACUGAAAGAGCAGAGCAAGACUGCGAGAGGCAGGAGACCAGCGGCAGAUGCCAGUUCAGACGACGAGCCCUUGGUGAGGAAAGUGAAAGCAGCGAAGGUGAAGGAUAAGUUUAGAAAGAGAGCUAACGGAGAAGAGGACACAGUCAAACAAGACAGAGAGCUGAGCGAGGAGGACGAGCGUCCACACUGAGAGCCUGGCAGUAGUCACACACAACACAACACGUCUCGCACACGAAUUUAACAGAAGAAACGAGAAGAGGACUCGCUUGUUUCACCGUUCUGUGGAUCAGUAGUUCUGUGCUCAUUCCUUUAUUUAUGUAUAGGAAUAACGUCGCAUUUUCUGAACUCCUAAACCCCGAAACGUGAAUCCCUUUCACUCCAUAACACAUUGAAAAGCUUGAAGUAGUUUCUUUUAUAUUGUUUUAGCAUUUUAAAUUUUGUAUGGUCUUAACCAGGCUUCGGCCUUUUACAUCGUGUACGCUGAUGGUUUUUGAUUUGUAUUUUAAAACAAACAAAAAAAAGUCACUAAAUGUUAUUUACAUAGUUUCUAGGAAGGAAAGUGAAAUGAAAUGUGUUUUUUGAUAAUAUUGACGUGUACACAAGUAUAAACGCAGUGGUGUGAGAGAUAAAUGUGGAGAACGCUGUACAGUAGUUUUCUUUUUGUUUUUUGAUGACCGUUGUUUAGUUUCUUGUGAUUUAAUGUGAUUUUACCAGAUCAGAUUGUUGGAAUUCCCAACAAAUGAAAUAUUCCCGCUGUCAAUACAAUCUAAAGGCUUAAAAAAAUAAAUUACAUCAGUGACUUUGUAAUGAAAAUUGUAGGAACUCUGUGGUUAUUGCCUCUCACCGCUUUUUUCUUUACCGAACCAUACCAUUUUGUCACUCGGCUCUAAUAUAAAUGUCAAGCUUUAGCAAAAAGCUAUAUACAGUCCCCUUCGACACUAUUGGAAAGAAAAGGAAAAUUCAUUUGUUUUUGCUGUAGACUUAAGACAUUUGGGUUUGAGGUCAAAAGAUGAAUAUGAGAAGAGAGUUUUGAAUUUUAGCUUUUAUUUCCUGAUAUUUAUAUGUAAAUGUCUUCAACAAUAUAGAACACAGCACACUUUAUAUCAGAUUACAAAAUUUUGUAGGUGAGCAAAAAAUACUGGAACAUGUGACUGACAGGUGUUUCCUUGUUACCCAGGUGUGUCCUGUUAGAUUGAUUGAUUGCUUGCUUAAACAAUAAAUAGCUCUGAGCAUCUACUCUUGGUUUUAGCUUUCAGUUUCUCCUGUGAAGACUGCAUUUGUUGUUAAAAAGGAUAAACUAACAUGAAGAUCACAGAGCUGUCUAUGGGAGAAAAAUCCAUCAGAGUCACUGCACAAACACUGGGCAUAGCCAAUAGAAC